UGCCUGGUGGUGUAAUGGUAACACAUCGGCCUUUGGAGCCGCUAUUUCUGGUUCGAAUCCAGACCGGGCAG
Molecule: transfer RNA, 71 nt
Filed under: Candidatus Omnitrophota bacterium
Lineage: Bacteria; Pseudomonadati; Candidatus Omnitrophota
Description: tRNA-Gln
Rfam family: tRNA
About the family: Transfer RNA (tRNA) molecules are approximately 80 nucleotides in length. Their secondary structure includes four short double-helical elements and three loops (D, anti-codon, and T loops).
Source: RNAcentral